CCUACGGGUGGCAGCAGUGAGGAAUAUUGGACAAUGGCCGAGAGGCUGAACCAGCCAAGUCGCGUGAGGGAAGAAUGUCCUAUGGAUUGUAAACCUCUUUUGUCAGGGAGAAAAGUCACCAACGUGUGGGUGUUGGAGAGUACCUGAAGAAAAAGCAUAGCCUAACUACGUUCCAGCCGCCGCGGUAAUACGGGGGAUGCGAGCGUUAUCCGGAUUUAGUGGGUUUAAAGGGUGCGUAGGCGGGUUAUCAAGUUAGUGGUAAAAUCGUGGAGCUCAACUCCAUCCAGCCGUGGAUACUGGUGAUCUUGAGUGAGCGAGAGGUAUGCGGAAUGCGUGGUGUAGCGGUGAAAUGCAUAGAUAUCACGCAGAACUCCGAUUGCGAAGGCAGCAUACCGGCGCCCGACUGACGCUGAGGGACGAAAGCGUGGGUAUCGAACAGGAUUAGAUACCCGGGUAGUC
RNAcentral lists this ribosomal RNA (459 nucleotides) under uncultured bacterium. Its description in RNAcentral is "partial 16S ribosomal RNA". It matches the Rfam family "Bacterial small subunit ribosomal RNA", at positions 338 to 795 of the family's 1533-position model. The record is from RNAcentral.